GGGGAUGUAGCUCAGUGAUAAGAGCACUUGUCUAGCAUGCAAGAGGUCCUGGGUUCAAUCCUA
Molecule: transfer RNA, 63 nt
Filed under: Marmota marmota marmota (Alpine marmot)
Lineage: Eukaryota; Metazoa; Chordata; Mammalia; Rodentia; Sciuridae
Also listed under: 2 other names
Rfam family: tRNA
About the family: Transfer RNA (tRNA) molecules are approximately 80 nucleotides in length.
Source: Rfam by way of RNAcentral